This is a long non-coding RNA of Clarias gariepinus (North African catfish), 291 nucleotides long. RefSeq lists it as uncharacterized. The transcript has 3 exons. Lineage: Eukaryota; Metazoa; Chordata; Actinopteri; Siluriformes; Clariidae. The record is from RefSeq and is a predicted model, not a curated record.
AUAAAUCUUUCCAAUGUGAGCAGAUGAUCAGCAACUAACUAUAAAUCCUUAACUAUUUUACCUUUGUUUUAGACAUGUAAUAUGGUCGAAGUAUGAGUUAUUUUCUUUUCAAUAUAUCAUUAAACUCAAUUUAUCAUGCACAAAACUUUGACACGUCAUUAUUCACAGACACAGCGCAUAGAAGAGCAAGGUGUCGUGAUUUAUCAGAGCGACAGAAAAUGGACAGAAGAUGAGAGAAUGAAAAUGGCGAACUCUGCUUUACAGACUGGUGACAGGGAGUGACAUGAUUAA